GACGAACGCUGGCGGCGUGCUUAACACAUGCAAGUCGAACGGAAAGGCCCUGCUUUUGUGGGUUGCUCGAGUGGCGAACGGGUGAGUAACACGUGAGUAACCUGUCCUUGACUUUGGGAUAACUUUAGUAAACUGGGGCUAAUAUCGGAUAGGAGUUUUUGCUGCAUGGUGGGGGUUGGAAAGUUUCGGGGGUUGGAGAUGGACUCGCGGCUUAUCAGCUUGUUGGUGGAGUAGUGUCUCACCAAUGCUUUGACGUGUAGCCGGCCUGAGGGUGUGACCGACCUCGUUGGUGCUGACGUACGUCACAGAUUCCUACGGGAGGCAGCAGUUGAGAAUUUUGCACUAUGGGCGGAAGCCUCGUGCGGCAACGCCGCGUGCCGGAUGACGGGCUUCGGGGUGUAAACCGCUUUCGCCGGUGAGGAAGCGGGGGUGACGGAAAUGGGUAAAGAAGCACCGGCUAACUACGUG
Molecule: ribosomal RNA, 468 nt
Filed under: uncultured bacterium
Lineage: Bacteria
Description: partial 16S ribosomal RNA
Rfam family: Bacterial small subunit ribosomal RNA
Source: RNAcentral